AGAGUUUGAUCCUGGCUCAGAUUGAACGCUGGCGGCGUGCUUAACACAUGCAAGUCCAACGUGAAAGGGGAGCAAUCCCCCGGUAGGGUGGCGAACGGGUGAGUAAUGCAUCGGAACGUAUCCUUGAGUGGGGGAUAACGCAGCGAAAGUUGUGCUAAUACCGCAUAAGCUCUGAGGAGGAAAGCGGGGGACCGAAAGGCCUCGCGCUGAAGGAGCGGCCGAUGUCCGAUUAGCUAGUUGGUGAGGUAAAGGCUUACCAAGGCGACGACCGGUAGCUGAUCUGAGAGGAUGAUCAGCCACACUGGGACUGAGACACGGCCCAGACUCCUACGGGAGGCGAC
Molecule: ribosomal RNA, 341 nt
Filed under: uncultured prokaryote
Description: bacterial SSU rRNA
Rfam family: Bacterial small subunit ribosomal RNA
Source: RNAcentral